Long non-coding RNA from Peromyscus eremicus (cactus mouse), 2261 nucleotides. RefSeq lists it as uncharacterized. The transcript is spliced from 3 exons. The record is from RefSeq and is a predicted model, not a curated record. Lineage: Eukaryota; Metazoa; Chordata; Mammalia; Rodentia; Cricetidae.
AUCAUUAGUCUUGUUAGAAAAUGGAUUCCAUGUGGUGCCUGCACCUCACUUCCUCUAUUAUGGUCAUGUUUAUUUCAUAUUUGAUUGCUGGAGACUAGCUUAUAUGUCUGUAUUCCAGCUCCAAGAGAGGACAAGGAGGUGAAUCUUCUGGCCGGCUUGGGUCGUGGAGAGAAGGGACUCAUCAUGUGAGAAGUCUCCUGUGAUGAAAAAGUAUCCGAAGGGCUGGAAAUCUGCCCAGCUUUUUGCCUCUCUUUCCAGCCUUAGAACACCGCAGAGGCCACCAGAAGGUACCGCAGUGACUGGUGACAGUCCUGUCGAGCUGUAAGCAGAGGCUGGGAAGGGCUUGUAGCCCAUCGUCUAAUCAAGCUCAUGGAAAGUGUCAACAUAUUAGACAUGCUCACCUUACUCUACCACAGUCUUCCGAUAAAAUGAGAUUCAACUAAAACAGCUGCUGUGAGUGACUGUAAGAAAAACUACAACUGGGGACAGGGAGGGGCCUUAGCGGGUAAAAUGCCUGCUCAAGUGCAAGCCUGGUGACCCAAGUUCAGUUGCUCAGAAUCCAUGUAAAAGCCAGACAGAAUCCUAGCACUCCUGGAAGUGGAGACGAGAGACUCCGCCCCCAUCCCAGAAGCUCAAGGGCUGGCUGGCUUGGAGUAUCUGUGUAGCAGCGGCUAAUGAGAGACCUUGUCUCAAAAACAAGGUGAAAGGCGAGGAUAGACCCAUGCAGUUGUCCUCUAACCUCCACACACACACUGUGGUAUGUGAGUGCUCUCUCACAAUCACAAUCACACACACACACACACACACACACACACACACACACACACUAAAUCUAUAUAUUUAAACCUUGUUAGUGUGUGCAGGUGUGUGCAUGCUAAGGUCAUGUGGAGGUCAGAGGACAACUUUCAGGGGCUGAUUUUCUCCUUCCGUCAUGGGACUUGGGGAUGGGACACAGGUCACUGUGCAUUCUCAGUGAGCCUGUACUUACUGAGCCAUCUCACCAGUCAGAAGCAACAUUAAAAAAGAAGAAAAAUCAAAUUGCUUUUAGUCUUGGGAAUGAAGGAGGCAGUUCCUCUCUACUCUCUCACUACACGCUCUUCUGGUUUUAUUUUAAGUUGAUUCCCCCCAGGCUCGGUUAAGUAUUUCUUCGGCGCUCCGUCUUUAUGCUUUUGGUUAAGCAUAUGUGUAUGACCUAGCAGCCCUCCGUGUCAGGUCCCUGCUUCCCACCCCUCCAUAACUUAUCAUACACUGAGCCUGCAUACACAUCUUGAUGAGUUUUUACACAUGUGGCCACCAAGGACAUCAAGAUGUAGCACAUCUUCAGAAUUCCAGAGGUCUCUUUUGUGCUCCUCUGUGGUCAGGAACAUCAAAGCUAACUGCAAUUGUGACUCCCACCGUCAAGUUAGUUUUGACUACUUACAAACUUCACUUGAAUAUUGUCACGUGGUGUGUUCUUUUUGUGUGUGUCUGGCUUCUUUUUAUCAAGGGUAUCUCUUUGGCUGUGUAAAUAUUUAAUGUGUAUGUAUGUAGUUACCUGCUGAUGGCCAUUUAUGCUGUUUCCAUCCCAGGAUUGUUAUGAAUAAAGCCAUGAAUUUUAAAUGUUACUGUUUAUACUCACUUAUCAUGUAAGAUGGAUCCUUCCUUUAUUCAAUAUCCACUUCCAUGUCUCUCUUGCUCUGGGGGCUGGUGGAAAGAGAAAAUGGAUCCCUGGAGGGGAAAGAGUCUGUUUAUCGGGAGUCUGCCCUGUGGUGAAGCAUCACUGCCUGACACGUGGACUCUUCCUGGCAGUACCAUGAGCAAGGCUUUUCUGUUUCAUGAGGACCAAAUUAAGGUGUAUCAUGAGACAGAUGACCCUACUCAUACACAGGAGCGUGUACACACACACUAAAAAAGAAAAGGAAAGAAAAAAUAGACGACUUGCUCAAAGUCAGACGUCUCUGAAGUGGCAAGGACUGCUAUCUCCUUCCACAUCUGUGACUUGCACGAUGACCAUGACGAAGUUCACUGAGCACAGCUGGUUCCCUGGAGUCUGGAAAGUGAUACCAUUUGUUUCCUCUGCUCUGCCCUCCAUUCCCUGCGGUGGAUGACACCCACUGACCCAGGCUCUGCCUUCCCACCGUGCUGCACUCAGGUGUCCACUUUUGUUUUGCUUCUCAGUCCUUGCUCUCUUGGGAAGAGUUUCUGGCUGGUCCUAGCUUCCUCCUCCCCCAUUUCCUCACCCCAUGGGGUGUAAAUGCAGAUAUGGUAGCUGUUCAUCUUUU